RNAcentral lists this ribosomal RNA (482 nucleotides) under uncultured bacterium. Its description in RNAcentral is "partial 16S ribosomal RNA". It matches the Rfam family "Bacterial small subunit ribosomal RNA", at positions 28 to 523 of the family's 1533-position model. The record is from RNAcentral.
GACGAACGCUGGCGGCGUGCUUAACACAUGCAAGUCGAACGAUGAAGCCCAGCUUGCUGGGUGGAUUAGUGGCGAACGGGUGAGUAACACGUGGGCAACCUGCCCCAAACUCUGGGAUAACUCCUCGAAAGAGGUGCUAAUACCGGAUACGAACUAGACAGACAUCUGUACUAGUUGGAAAGUUUUUCGGUUUGGGAUGGGCCCGCGGCCGAUCAGCUCGUUGGUGAGGUAACGGCUCACCAAGGCUACGACGGGUAACCGGCCUGAGAGGGCGACCGGUCACACUGGGACUGAGACACGGCCCAGACUCCUACGGGAGGCAGCAGUGGUGAAUAUUGCGCAAUGGGCGAAAGCCUGACGCAGCGACGCCGCGUGAGGGAUGAAGGUCUUCGGAUCGUAAACCUCUUUCGGUAGGGACGAAGCGAAAGUGACGGUACCUAAAGAAGAAGCACCGGCUAACUACGUGCCAGCAGCCGCGGUAA